GAAACAUCUAAGUACCCCGAGGAAAAGAAAUCAACCGAGAUUCCCCCAGUAGCGGCGAGCGAACGGGGAGCAGCCCAGAGUCUGAAUCAGCUUGUGUGUUAGUGGAACGGUCUGGAAAGUCCGACGGUACAGGGUGAUAGUCCCGUACACCAAAAUGCACAGGUUGUGAACUCGAAGAGUAGGGCGGGACACGUGGUAUCCUGUCUGAAUAUGGGGGGACCAUCCUCCAAGGCUAAAUACUCCUGACUGACCGAUAGUGAACCAGUACCGUGAGGGAAAGGCGAAAAGAACCCCGGCGAGGGGAGUGAAAAAGAACCUGAAACCGUGUACGUACAAGCAGUGGGAGCACCUUCGGGUGUGACUGCGUACCUUUUGUAUAAUGGGUCAGCGACUUAUAUUCUGUAGCAAGGUUAACCGUAUAGGGGAGCCGCAGGGAAACCGAGUCUUAACUGGGCGUUAAGUUGCAGGGUAUAGACCCGAAACCCGGUGAUCUAGCCAUGGGCAGGUUGAAGGUUGGGUAACACUAACUGGAGGACCGAACCGACUAAUGUUGAAAAAUUAGCGGAUGACUUGUGGCUGGGGGUGAAAGGCCAAUCAAACCGGGAGAUAGCUGGUUCUCCCCGAAAGCUAUUUAGGUAGCGCCUCGUGAACUCAUCUUCGGGGGUAGAGCACUGUUUCGGCUAGGGGGUCAUCCCGACUUACCAACCCGAUGCAAACUACGAAUACCGAAGAAUGUUAUCACGGGAGACACACGGCGGGUGCUAACGUCCGUCGUGAAGAGGGAAACAACCCAGACCGCCAGCUAAGGUCCCAAAGUCAUGGUUAAGUGGGAAACGAUGUGGGAAGGCACAGACAGCCAGGAUGUUGGCUUAGAAGCAGCCAUCAUUUAAAGAAAGCGUAAUAGCUCACUGGUCGAGUCGGCCUGCGCGGAAGAUGUAACGGGGCUAAACCAUGCACCGAAGCUGCGGCAGCGACACUAUGUGUUGUUGGGUAGGGGAGCGUUCUGUAAGCCUGCGAAGGUGUGCUGUGAGGCAUGCUGGAGGUAUCAGAAGUGCGAAUGCUGACAUAAGUAACGAUAAAGCGGGUGAAAAGCCCGCUCGCCGGAAGACCAAGGGUUCCUGUCCAACGUUAAUCGGGGCAGGGUGAGUCGACCCCUAAGGCGAGGCCGAAAGGCGUAGUCGAUGGGAAACAGGUUAAUAUUCCUGUACUUGGUGUUACUGCGAAGGGGGGACGGAGAAGGCUAUGUUAGCCGGGCGACGGUUGUCCCGGUUUAAGCAUGUAGGCUGAUUGUCCAGGCAAAUCCGGAUAAUCAAGGCUGAGGUGUGAUGACGAGGCACUACGGUGCUGAAGUAACAAAUGCCCUGCUUCCAGGAAAAGCCUCUAAGCAUCAGGUAACAUUAAAUCGUACCCCAAACCGACACAGGUGGUCAGGUAGAGAAUACCAAGGCGCUUGAGAGAACUCGGGUGAAGGAACUAGGCAAAAUGGUGCCGUAACUUCGGGAGAAGGCACGCUGGUGUGUAGGUGAAGUCCCUGCGGAUGGAGCUGAGACCAGUCGAAGAUACCAGCUGGCUGCAACUGUUUAUUAAAAACACAGCACUGUGCAAACACGAAAGUGGACGUAUACGGUGUGACGCCUGCCCGGUGCCGGAAGGUUAAUUGAUGGGGUUAUCCGUAAGGAGAAGCUCUUGAUCGAAGCCCCGGUAAACGGCGGCCGUAACUAUAACGGUCCUAAGGUAGCGAAAUUCCUUGUCGGGUAAGUUCCGACCUGCACGAAUGGCGUAAUGAUGGCCAGGCUGUCUCCACCCGAGACUCAGUGAAAUUGAACUCGCUGUGAAGAUGCAGUGUACCCGCGGCAAGACGGAAAGACCCCGUGAACCUUUACUAUAGCUUGACACUGAACAUUGAGCCUUGAUGUGUAGGAUAGGUGGGAGGCUUUGAAGCGUGGACGCCAGUCUGCGUGGAGCCAACCUUGAAAUACCACCCUUUAAUGUUUGAUGUUCUAACGUUGGCCCCUUACCGGGGUUGCGGACAGUGUCUGGUGGGUAGUUUGACUGGGGCGGUCUCCUCCCAAAGCGUAACGGAGGAGCACGAAGGUUAGCUAAUCCUGGUCGGACAUCAGGAGGUUAGUGCAAUGGCAUAAGCUAGCUUGACUGCGAGCGUGACGGCGCGAGCAGGUGCGAAAGCAGGUCAUAGUGAUCCGGUGGUUCUGAAUGGAAGGGCCAUCGCUCAACGGAUAAAAGGUACUCCGGGGAUAACAGGCUGAUACCGCCCAAGAGUUCAUAUCGACGGCGGUGUUUGGCACCUCGAUGUCGGCUCAUCACAUCCUGGGGCUGAAGUAGGUCCCAAGGGUAUGGCUGUUCGCCAUUUAAAGUGGUACGCGAGCUGGGUUUAGAACGUCGUGAGACAGUUCGGUCCCUAUCUGCCGUGGGCGCUGGAGAAUUGAGGGGGGCUGCUCCUAGUACGAGAGGACCGGAGUGGACGCAUCACUGGUGUUCGGGUUGUCAUGCCAAUGGCACUGCCCGGUAGCUAAAUGCGGAAGAGAUAAGUGCUGAAAGCAUCUAAGCACGAAACUUGCCCCGAGAUGAGUUCUCCCUGAGACUUUAAGUCUCCUGAAGGAACGUUGAAGACGACGACGUUGAUAGGCCGGGUGUGUAAGCGCAGCGAUGCGUUGAGCUAACCGGUACUAAUGAACCGUGAGGCUUAACCUU
RNAcentral lists this ribosomal RNA (2709 nucleotides) under Klebsiella pneumoniae. RNAcentral's name for it is "bacterial LSU rRNA". It matches the Rfam family "Bacterial large subunit ribosomal RNA". The record is from RNAcentral. Lineage: Bacteria; Pseudomonadati; Pseudomonadota; Gammaproteobacteria; Enterobacterales; Enterobacteriaceae.